This 70-nucleotide transfer RNA is filed under the name Loxodonta africana (African savanna elephant). It matches the Rfam family "tRNA". Rfam says of the family: Transfer RNA (tRNA) molecules are approximately 80 nucleotides in length. Their secondary structure includes four short double-helical elements and three loops (D, anti-codon, and T loops). Lineage: Eukaryota; Metazoa; Chordata; Mammalia; Proboscidea; Elephantidae. The record is from Rfam by way of RNAcentral.
GCAUUGGUGGUUCAGUGGUAGAAUUCUCGCCUUCCAUGCAUGAGACCUGGGUUCAGUUCCCACCAAUGGA